Molecule: ribosomal RNA, 170 nt
Filed under: Acanthurus olivaceus (orangespot surgeonfish)
Lineage: Eukaryota; Metazoa; Chordata; Actinopteri; Acanthuriformes; Acanthuridae
Description: partial 12S ribosomal RNA
Source: RNAcentral
CACCGCGGUUAUACGAGAGACCCAAGUUGACAGACAAUCGGCGUAAAGAGUGGUUAAGUAUUAUACUUAACUAAAGCCAAACACCUUCAAAGCUGUUAUACGCACCCGAAGGUCAGAAGCCCAAUCACGAAAGUAGCUUUAAACUAACUGAACCCACGAAAGCUAGGGCA